AGCUGUAAGGCUUGGUGGAGUUUUAACAAGUAAGAAUGUUGGCAUGAGUAGCAAAAAUGCCGGUGAGAAUCCGGCAGGCCGUAAGUCUAAGGAUUCCUACGCAACGUUGAUCGGCGUAGGGUUAGUCGGGCCUAAGGCGUAUCCGAAAGGAAAAGUCGAUGGACAGCUGGUAAAUAUUCCAGCACCUUCAAAUUAUUGUUUGAUUCAAAGGGGUGACGCAGAAAGAUAAACAGAGCAUACGUAUUGGACAUCGUGUGUUUCUGCCUGUAAGAGAUAUAGAGAGGGUUAAAAUACUUUCUAUGCUUGAUCUGAGGGGUGGGAGAACUAUGAAGUUAGCUUCGUAGAAUUCUGUUGACUCUAGACUGCCAAGAAAAGCCUCGUUGAUUAGAUAUUUUGAAGACCGUACCGCAAACCAACACAGGUAGACAGGGAUAAAAGUCCCAAGGCCUUCGAGAGAACCAUCGUUAAGGAACUCGGCAAAUUGACCCCGUAACUUAGGGAGAAGGGGGACCUUUUAUGUAUAUGAGCUUGCCUCAGAAAGCGUAAAAGGUAGCAUAAAAUAGGUUGAAGCGACUGUUUAUCAAAAACACAGGUCCAUGCCAAAGCGAAAGCUGAUGUAUAUGGGCUGACGCCUGCCCAGUGCCGGUAGGUUAAGGAAGGUGGUGCAAGCUACUGACUGAAGCCCCGGUGAACGGCGGCCGUAACUAUAACGGUCCUAAGGUAGCGAAGUCCCUUGUCGGGUAAGUUCCGACCCGCACGAAUGGCGUAACGACUUCAACACUGUCUCAACGAUGGACUCGGUGAAAUUGCAGGACCGGUAAAGAUGCCGGUUACGCGCAGCAGGACAAAAAGACCCCGUGGAGCUUUACUGCAACUUGGCAUUGGUUCGAGUUUUAAAAUGUGUAGGAUAGGCGGGAGACUAUGAACUUCAGGCGUUAGCCUGGGGGGAGUCGCCCUUGAAAUACCGCCCUUUUUAUGAUUUGAACCUAACCUUUUGGAACAGUGUCUGGUGGGCAGUUUGACUGGGGCGGUCGCCUCCCAAAGAGUAACGGAGGCGUACAAAGGUCACCUCAAGCUGGAUGGAAAUCAGCUUUUGAGUGCAUUGGCAUAAGGUGGCUUGACUGCGAGACUUACAAGUCGAGCAGGGACGAAAGUCGGUCAAAGUGAUCCCACGAUUCCGAGUGGAAGGGUCGUGGCUUAACGGAUAAAAGCUACCCCGGGGAUAACAGGCUUAUCUUGCCCAAGAGUCCAUAUCGACGGCAAGGUUUGGCACCUCGAUGUCGGCUCGUCGCAUCCUGGGGCUGAAGAAGGUCCCAAGGGUCGGGCUGUUCGCCCGUUAAAGCGGCACGCGAGCUGGGUUCAGAGCGUCGUGAGACAGCUCGGUCUCUAUCCGCUGUGCGCGUAGGAUAUUUGAAGGAAUUUGCUCCUAGUACGAGAGGACCGGAGUGAGCAAACCAAUGGUGUAUCGGUUGUAACGCCAGUUGCAUCGCCGAGUAGCUAAGUUUGUUAGGGAUAAGCGCUGAAAGCAUCUAAGUACGAAGCCCCUCCUGAGAUAAGAUAUCCCAUCUCUUUAUGAGAGUAAGAUCCCCGGUAGACUACCGGGUUGAUAGGCUACGUGUGUAAGCAUAGUAAUAUGUUCAGCUAAGUAGUACUAAUAGAUCGAGGAUUUGAUGAU
This 1675-nucleotide ribosomal RNA is filed under the name marine metagenome. RNAcentral describes it as "bacterial LSU rRNA". It matches the Rfam family "Bacterial large subunit ribosomal RNA", at positions 1259 to 2925 of the family's 2925-position model. The record is from RNAcentral.